RNAcentral lists this small RNA (488 nucleotides) under Pongo abelii (Sumatran orangutan). RNAcentral describes it as "processed transcript". Lineage: Eukaryota; Metazoa; Chordata; Mammalia; Primates; Hominidae. The record is from RNAcentral.
GUUAUGCUGAGCCAGAAGCCGGCUGUGCGUGAUGUGGACCUAUAUGGACGAGCAGCUGACAAGUUUCUCUCCCUAAUCCCACGCUGUUGUCGGCACCACGCCCCCAGCCCACCUCGUCCAGAGCAUGCCUCAUGGGCACGAGGUCCUGGAAGCCCAAGUGUGGACUCCUCUUCUGUGAUGACAGUACCCCGGCCCUCCACACCAUCUCGUCUGGCUCUCUUCCUGCGGCAGCAGAGCCUGGGUGGCUCUGAGUCUCCAGGCCCAGCCCCUUGCUCACCAGGGCUUUCUGCAUCCCCAGCCUCCAGCCCUGGCCGACGGCCUACCCCUGCAGAGGAGGCUGGAGAGCUGGAAGACAAUUACCUGGAGUAUCUGCGUGAGGCACGUCGUGGUGUGGACCGCUGUGUCCGAGCCUGUCGUACCUGGUCUGCCCCCUAUGAUGGCGAGCGGCCCUCUCCUGAGCCCAGUCCUUUUGGCUCCCGGACUAAGAA